GAGUCUAGCAUGUGCGCGAGUCAUUGGGAUUGACUAAACCUAAAGGCGCAAUGAAAGUGAAGGCCCGCCUCGCGCGGGCCGAGGGAGGAUGGGCCGCCUCACGUGGCAGCCCCGCACUCCCGGGGCGUCUCGUUCUCAUCACGAGAAGAGGCGCACCCAGAGCGUACACGCUGGGACCCGAAAGAUGGUGAACUAUGCCUGGUCAGGACGAAGUCAGGGGAAACCCUGAUGGAGGUCCGUAGCGAUUCUGACGUGCAAAUCGAUCGUCGGAACUGGGUAUAGGGGCGAAAGACUAAUCGAACCAUCUAGUAGCUGGUUCCCUCCGAAGUUUCCCUCAGGAUAGCUGGCGCUCGCUUUGCGAGUCUCAUCCGGUAAAGCGAAUGAUUAGAGGCAUUGGGGUCGAAACGGCCUCAACCUAUUCUCAAACUUUAAAUGGGUGAGAUCUCCGGCUUGCUCGAACGUGAAGCCGCGAGAAUUAGUAAGGAUCAGAGUGCCAAGUGGGCCACUUUUGGUAAGCAGAACUGGCGCUGUGGGAUGAACCAAACGCAGAGUUAAAGCGCCUAAAUCGACGCUUAUGGGAUACCAUGAAAGGCGUUGGUAACUUAAGACAGCAGGACGGUGGCCAUGGAAGUCGGA
RNAcentral lists this ribosomal RNA (636 nucleotides) under Rygmostralia sp. NLG-2014. Its description in RNAcentral is "eukaryotic LSU rRNA". It matches the Rfam family "Eukaryotic large subunit ribosomal RNA", at positions 671 to 1265 of the family's 3401-position model. The record is from RNAcentral. Lineage: Eukaryota; Metazoa; Arthropoda; Insecta; Coleoptera; Hydrophilidae.